Molecule: ribosomal RNA, 497 nt
Filed under: uncultured bacterium
Lineage: Bacteria
Description: partial 16S ribosomal RNA
Rfam family: Bacterial small subunit ribosomal RNA
Source: RNAcentral
GAUGAACGCUGGCGGCGUGCCUAAUACAUGCAAGUCGAGCGAACAGACGAGGAGCUUGCUCCUCUGACGUUAGCGGCGGACGGGUGAGUAACACGUGGAUAACCUACCUAUAAGACUGGGAUAACUUCGGGAAACCGGAGCUAAUACCGGAUAAUAUAUUGAACCGCAUGGUUCAAUAGUGAAAGACGGUUUUGCUGUCACUUAUAGAUGGAUCCGCGCCGCAUUAGCUAGUUGGUAAGGUAACGGCUUACCAAGGCAACGAUGCGUAGCCGACCUGAGAGGGUGAUCGGCCACACUGGAACUGAGACACGGACCAGACUCCUACGGGAGGCAGCAGUAGGGAAUCUUCCGCAAAGGGCGAAAGCUUGACGGAGCAACGCCGCGGGAGUGAUGAAGGUCUUCGGAUCGUAAAACUCUGUUAUUAGGGAAGAACAAAUGUGUAAGUAGCUAUGCACGUCUUGACGGUACCUAAUCAGAAAGCCACGGCUAACUACGUG